CCUGGCUUAGGACGAACGCUGGCGGCGUGCCUAACACAUGCAAGUCGAACGGACUUACGGGAGCUUGCUCCUGUAAGUUAGUGGCGGACGGGUGAGUAACGCGUGAGUAACCUGCCUUACAGAGGGGGAUAACGUUUGGAAACGAACGCUAAUACCGCAUAACGUGCAGACGUCGCAUGGCGUCAGUACCAAAGGAGCAAUCCGCUGUAAGAUGGACUCGCGUCCGAUUAGAUAGUUGGCGGGGUAACGGCCCACCAAGUCGACGAUCGGUAGCCGGACUGAGAGGUUGAACGGCCACAUUGGGACUGAGACACGGCCCAGACUCCUACGGGAGGCAGCAGUGAGGGAUAUUGCACAAUGGGCGAAAGCCUGAUGCAGCCAACGCCGCGUGAGGGAAGACGGUUUUCGGAUUGUAAACCUCUGUUCCCAGUGAUGAUAAUGACAUUAGCUGAGGAGAAAGCCACGGCUAACUACGUGCCAGCAGCCGC
RNAcentral lists this ribosomal RNA (488 nucleotides) under uncultured bacterium. RNAcentral describes it as "bacterial SSU rRNA". It matches the Rfam family "Bacterial small subunit ribosomal RNA", at positions 18 to 518 of the family's 1533-position model. The record is from RNAcentral.